Molecule: unclassified non-coding RNA, 644 nt
Filed under: Hevea brasiliensis (rubber tree)
Lineage: Eukaryota; Viridiplantae; Streptophyta; Magnoliopsida; Malpighiales; Euphorbiaceae
Source: RNAcentral
GUUUUAGAGUGUUGAGGGAUAUUGUUAGCAAACGGUUCCCUAUGUCAAAAUCUGUUCUUGUUAAAUAUAAGGACAGUGAUGGAGAUUUAGUAACUAUAACCUGUACGGCUGAACUUAGAUCGGCAGAGUCUUGGGUUGAUGGUUUACUACCAAAAGACCCUGAUGCAGAUAAAACCGGCGCCAUUGGGUUGUUAAGAUUGCACGUCGUUGAGGUGAGUCCUGAACAAGAGCCAGCCUUGUUGGAAGAGGAAGAGGAGAAGCCUGUCGAGAGUGAAGGGAGUAAAGGGGAUGAUAGUGGAUCCCAUUCUUCAAUAAGUGACUUGGUGGUUGAAACUGUGGAUAAUGAGAGUAAUAAGGCAGAGAAGGUAACUAUCACAGAAAAAGCGGCUACAGCCGAAAAUCCUGACUGCAAAGAGGUUGAAAUGGAUGACUGGCUUUUCGAAUUUGCUCAAUUAUUCAGGACCCAUGUAGGCAUCGAUCCUGAUGCUCACAUUGAUCUGCAUGAACUUGGGAUGGAGCUUUGCUCUGAAGCCCUUGAGGAAACUGUCACAAGUGAAGAGGCUCAAGUUCUUUUCGACAAGGCUGCCUUAAAAUUUCAGGAGGUUGCAGCUCUUGCUUUCUUCAACUGGGGAAAUGUUCACAUG